AUUUGUAUAAUAUAAAAAGUAUAUAUAACUUCCAAUUAUACAGUUUAAAAAAUUUUAAUACAAAUA
Molecule: transfer RNA, 66 nt
Filed under: Rhyacophila kando
Lineage: Eukaryota; Metazoa; Arthropoda; Insecta; Trichoptera; Rhyacophilidae
Description: tRNA-Gly
Source: RNAcentral